This is a non-coding RNA of Phoenix dactylifera (date palm), 4591 nucleotides long. Lineage: Eukaryota; Viridiplantae; Streptophyta; Magnoliopsida; Arecales; Arecaceae. The record is from RefSeq and is a predicted model, not a curated record.
ACAAAAAGAACAACUAUGGAGGAACUCCUCAGCAUGGGCUUCUCCCAGGAGCUGGCCUCCCAAGCCCUCGCCGCCACCGGCGGCCGCUCCUCUCUCGAAGCCACCGAGUGGAUUCUCUCCCAACCCUCCUCCUCCCCUUCCUCCAAACCCUCAUCUCAUUCCCCCACCUUCCAACCCAGCCUCGACCGCUUCCUCCUCUCCCACCACAACACACCCCACUCCAAACGUCCCCACCCUUCCGCCACCCCUGCCACCGCCUCCCCCUCCGUCACCGCCCCAGCUGCCCCUCCUACUGCCUCCCCCUCCGCUACUGCCGCCCCCACCACUGCCCCUCUCUCUGACCGCAUGCGCCCCGCCACCCUCGACGCUGUCCUCGGCCAGGACCACCUCCUCGGCCCGGCCUCCCUCCUUCGCUCCGCCCUCCGCCCCCCCGCUACCGCCGCCGCCCUCCCUUCCUUCAUCCUCUGGGGCCCGCCGGGCUCUGGCAAGACCUCCCUCGCCCGCGCCCUCGCCGCCGCCCUCCCCCAGCCGUCCCACCGCUUCGUCCCCCUCUCCGCCGUCACCGCCGGCGUCCGCGACCUCCGCGACGCCGUCGACGCCGCCCGCCGCGCCCGCCACCUCGGUCGCCGCACCGUCCUCUUCGUCGACGAGAUCCACCGCUUCUCCAAGUCCCAGCAGGACUCCUUCCUCCCCGCCAUCGAGGACGGCUCCAUCGUCCUCGUCGGAGCCACCACCGAGAACCCCUCCUUCCACCUCACCACGCCGCUCCUCUCCCGCUGCCGAGUCCUCGCCCUGCACCCCCUCAAGCCCCACCACGUCGAGUCCCUUCUCCGCCGAGCCGUCUCAGACCCUGAGAAAGGUCUCCAGGUCACCACUGGAGUGCCCAUCUCGGUCGAUCAAGAAGCCCUCGAAUUCCUCUCUCUCCACUGCGACGGCGAUGCUCGUGUUGCCCUCAACGCACUGGAGAUUGCAGCCACAUUGGCCGUCGACCGGCGAUCGACCCAAGACGACAACGGGAAUAUGACGGUGACCGUCGACCAUGCGAAGGAGGCGAUGCAGUGCAAGCACUUGGCAUAUGAUCGAGCAGGUGACGAGCACUACAAUUUGAUCAGUGCCCUACACAAAUCAAUGCGCGGGAGCGACCCUGACGCUGCAAUCUACUGGCUUGCGAGGAUGCUGGAGGGAGGGGAGCAGCCGCUGUACAUUGCGCGCCGGCUAGUCCGGUUUGCAAGCGAGGAUGUGGGGCUCGCAGACCCUGCUGCACUCGGUCAUGCUGUUGCAUGCUACCAGGCGUGCCACUUCAUCGGUAUGCCGGAGUGCGAUGUGUGUCUUGCGCAGUGCGUGGCCUACUUGGCCCGGGCGCCUAAGUCGGUGGCCGUGUACCGAGCACUGAAUGAGGCGCGGAGGGUGGUGAGGGAGUCGGGCGGGGGGAACGAGGGCGUGCCAUUGCAUUUGAGGAAUGCACCCACAAAGCUGAUGAAGGAAAUGGGAUACGGGGAAGGUUACAUGUAUCCUCCUGAUCAUCCUGAUUGUUCGUCGCAGACAUAUCUGCCACCAUCCCUUCAGGGUUGCAGGUUUCUUGACUGGCCACCUAUCGAUGAAAAGCAUCGGUGAGUUCGGGAUCCCGGUGGGGUAAUUUGCAGUAUGCAAGCUUUGAGCCCCCUAUACUUGUGUUGUUGGUGAUGAUGCUUUUACCAUUGGUGUGAUGAAGUGUAAUAUUUAAUUAUACAACCUUUUUUUUGCAAACCUUAGCUACUAAAUAGAUCAUAUGGUUGCCUUCUCUACUAGAGGGCACUUGUCACAAAAAUGAACUUCUGACUAAAUUAUUUUUGUGCAUAUUGAGUAUGUGUUGAGCUAGUGACCCAUAUAGAGUUUUAGUUCCUUUGCUGACUUGGGGUGUUUUGGGCUCAUUAUGCUAUGACUUGCGCCUUGAAAAUGCCUUUAUGAACGCUGGUUAAAAGGACAUGAUGCCAAAUUUGCAUGCUCUGAGGGGGAAGAUCGAUGAUUUCUUGAAGAAGUUCUAUUUUAUUGGCAAUCUUAAAAAGGCAUCCAUCUAGUGGAAGGAGGCAAUAAUGAUGCCAAUUUUAUGUAUGAAGGCCAUUAUUAACUACUGAUAAAGGGAAGGCGCAUCCCUUUGAGUUGAUGUAACUAAAAUAUUCAAGUUGGGAUAGUUCUUUCUGCAGUUUGCAUUUUUACAGCUAUUUUCAGGAAGUAUUAGAGAAGUUUCAGAUUGCUUGACAGGCCCCAAGUUCAAAUUCUAAAGUUCAUCUAAGAAAAUGUCACCCAUUAUCUUUUUCCAUCUAUCCUUUUAGGCCCACCAUUUACAUUAUUCCAUCGUUAAAUGUAGAGUCCUGCAUUGGCAUUACUAUGUUUGCAAUUAGAUUUGUUUUGAAGUAUAUUAAAAUAUAUUGGAUUUCUUAUCAGAAAAGGAUAUUGAUUUGGGUAGCCAAGGUGGCUUUGAGCAAAAUAACUACUUCUUGUACUUAUUCAAAUCUAAAUCUAAAAUAGAAGUUCUUUCCUUUUUCCCCUUGCAAUCGGAUCUCUAACUCUGGCAUUAUGUAAGAGUUGGUUGUUUGACUAUGAUGCUCCCUGUUUCAUGCGGUGCAAUAAUCUGAGUGCUGAUGAACAUUUUGUUAAAGGGGACUACUAUAUCACAGCAUUCAGGUCUGCUCUCUCUCUCUCUCUCUCUCUCUCUCUCCCUCUCUCUCGCUCACUCGCUCGCUCGCGUGGGUUGGGUUGGGGAUGAGGCGUUAGGGGGUUGUUGGUAUAUUGCAGCUUUGCAACAACCUGCUCCUCUGGUUACGUUGAGUUCCCGGCAUUUUAGCUUCAACAGCAGUGAGGAAAAUGAACCAGAGGCCGCCCAAGAGUCAAGCUGAUGCUACUGCACUGUUAAGGUUCAGAUCCAAGUAACCAUGAAGGAUAGAAUUCUACAACAGGCAGAAUUUAAUUUUCAGAUUCAUGCUUCUCAAUUCAUCUUUGCUGACAAUAUCAAUGAAUGUUCUGCAAAUUUCAUUAGGACCAGGCUAUAGAUUUCUGCCAGCUGUAUGAAGGUUGAGUAUUUAUUUGCUUUGCUUAAACUUUCAACUGCCUCAUUAUUUGCUAAUAUUCAGGAGGUUGUAAGCGGCGAUAGGUGAGUAGGAUGUUUUUCCUGCCUUGUCUGCUAAAUACUCAAAAAGUAAGGGAUGUGUCCAUUAGUUUGCAUUGUAGUCAAGCGUAGCUUGUCUGAUUGAAUUAACUAGGCAAGGGUAAGUUAUGUUCAUAGAAGUGGUGUGCCAUAGCUUUAAACCCACUCUUCAUUCAACAACAAAUUGUUUUUAGAUGCAUCCAAUUAGAUCUUGCUGAUGACCAAGCUAAAAAUGCGAGUGUCACCUGUUUUUUAUGGUCUAGUCUAUCUACUGGUUCUGGUGCAAUAUAGAGAAAAACAUGUGCUCUAAGAAGAAAAAGAAAGUUAAAUGAGGAUGUUAUGGGAGUUGGGAUUUGGUUUAGCUAACAUUGUUGUGCUGCUUAUGUGACUCCAAAUGUGUUGAAUAGGCAUGGAAAGACCACUGAUAUCAACUAUACAAGGACAAUCAGUAUGGAAGUUUAUAUUCCAAAUUUGCUUCAAAUUUUUUAUGCAUCGUUGAUAACACCAAUAUGUAUUCUUGUUGUUAGAGCACCUGUUAUGUCUGUAAUAUUUUAAGUAGAUAUUUUACCAUCAUAACUGCUUUAUCUGCACUCAAAAUUUAUCAGUUUCAGAUUAUUGUAUACCAUUCAAUUUAGAAACUGAGGGAAUGUUUCUAAUUUGUUAUCAACAUGUUCGUGAACUUAUUUAUUGCACAAAGUGCAGAUGUGUUGGAAAUGGUUUUAGCUCAGUUAUAUUCAAAAGCAUGAAAAUUGGUUGUACCAGUAUUCCUCUUUUGUGUCUGUCUCUUGACCCUCCAUGGAGGAGAGACUCGUUGCGGCCCCAACUAAUGGAAAAUGGGAGUUUAUCGAACAGUAAAGCUCUCAUAGUUACCAACUCAUAUCUUGGGCCAUGCUAGCUAGGGCCAAGUGGUUUGAGCUAAAUAUUUCUGGAAUUUUCAGCAUAGUUAUUUCACUAAAUAGCAGGAUGAUACGAUAAUAUGCAUUCAAGCAAGUUUUUAGAUCAUCAAUUGCCCCCCUUUUCAUCCAAAGCGGACUUAAUAUUUAAGUUGAAAACAAGAGUUCUUACCAAUGGUUGCUCAUGUUUGGCAAUUUUCAUGUUUCUUAAUAUAGUUUUGCUUAUUGGGAGUUCCAUGUUUCUUGGGCUUCAGAAUGAUGAAGUAUACAAAAUAAUGAAUGCUGUGAGCUGGGGAAGGGUUUUGUUCCUCAAUAUAAUCAUCACCGUGGGAUGGCAUAUAUUCGCAAUCAGCAAGCUGUUUUCCAUGCCUUCUUCAUUACAUGGUGGAUUGCUUCUUCUUGACCCUUGCAGGAGACUGCUUCCACUCUCUUCACAAGUUUUAUGCACGCCAUGGUAAUCUUAGCAUGUCUUCUUUUCCCUUUUGUUCUUUAACCCUCUCAGUAUUUUUGUCAUGCACACCAUUUUGGGGGACUUUUCCAUGGAAUAAUGAUGCUGCAACCGUGUUCUAGAUUA